CCUACGGGAGGCAGCAGUGGGGAAUAUUGGACAAUGGGGGGAACCCUGAUCCAGCCAUGCCGCGUGUGUGAAGAAGGCCCUCGGGUUGUAAAGCACUUUCAGUGAGGAAGAACGCCUGGUGGUUAAUACCCAUCAGGAAAGACAUCACUCACAGAAGAAGCACCGGCUAACUCCGUGCCAGCAGCCGCGGUAACACGGAGGGUGCGAGCGUUAAUCGGAAUUACUGGGCGUAAAGCGCGCGUAGGUGGCUUGAUAAGCCGGUUGUGAAAGCCCCGGGCUCAACCUGGGAACGGCAUCCGGAACUGUCAAGCUAGAGUGCAGGAGAGGAAGGUAGAAUUCCCGGUGUAGCGGUGAAAUGCGUAGAGAUCGGGAGGAAUACCAGUGGCGAAGGCGGCCUUCUGGACUGACACUGACACUGAGGUGCGAAAGCGUGGGUAGCAAACAGGAUUAUAUACCCGUGUAGUC
RNAcentral lists this ribosomal RNA (465 nucleotides) under Vreelandella stevensii. Its description in RNAcentral is "partial 16S ribosomal RNA". It matches the Rfam family "Bacterial small subunit ribosomal RNA", at positions 338 to 795 of the family's 1533-position model. The record is from RNAcentral. Lineage: Bacteria; Pseudomonadati; Pseudomonadota; Gammaproteobacteria; Oceanospirillales; Halomonadaceae.